GUGUCUACUGAAAGGACUGUUAGCACUCCCCUUGACAAGGAUGGAACACAUAAUAUGGUUAAGGCACAACUUAACCACAUUUUUUU
Small nuclear RNA from Ostrinia furnacalis (Asian corn borer), 86 nucleotides. The record is from RefSeq and is a predicted model, not a curated record. NCBI's taxonomy places the organism in Eukaryota, Metazoa, Arthropoda, Insecta, Lepidoptera, Crambidae.